CGAGGAGCUUCACUAUGUGGAACCUUGCCUGAAUGGGACAUUGGUGCAAGCUGACCGGACAAAUAAAGAGCACUUCAGGGAGCAUCUGGACAAACUUUUUGCCAAAGGAAUCGGAAUGCUGCAUAUAGCUCUGAAUGAGGCCUUCAACAUUCUUAAUGAUGUAAGCUCCUCUUGAGUUGCCUUUUUCAUCUGUAGGAAAAUGUAUUUGUUUCCUUAAAUGAGGAUUGG
Molecule: long non-coding RNA, 228 nt
Filed under: Dasypus novemcinctus (nine-banded armadillo)
Lineage: Eukaryota; Metazoa; Chordata; Mammalia; Cingulata; Dasypodidae
Description: lncRNA (ENSDNOG00000050863.1)
Source: RNAcentral